Molecule: ribosomal RNA, 328 nt
Filed under: uncultured eukaryote
Lineage: Eukaryota
Description: partial 18S ribosomal RNA
Rfam family: Eukaryotic small subunit ribosomal RNA
Source: RNAcentral
CCCUUAGAUGUCCUGGGCCGCACGCGCGCUACACUGAUGCAUGCAACGAGUUUAUAACCUUGGCCUGAAAGGUCUGGGUAAUCUUUUGAACGUGCAUCGUGAUAGGGAUAGAUUAUUGCAAUUGUUAAUCUUGAACGAGGAAUUCCUAGUAAACGCGAGUCAUCAGCUCGCAUUGAUUACGUCCCUGCCCUUUGUACACACCGCCCGUCGCACCUACCGAUUGAAUGGUUCGGUGAAGAUCUCGGACUUCGAUAUUUAUUCUUUAUUGAGUUUAUAUUGUGGGAAGUUAUCUAACCCUCAUCAUUUAGAGGAAGGUGAAGUCGUAACA